UAUUAUAAUAGAAACUGACUAGUCAUCGUGGCCAUGAAUAUAGACUUUAAUGUCUACACGACUACAGUAGGUAGGGUAAAUUUUUAACCUCAUUGGUUAUAAAUUAUUUCCGUACUGUAAAUAAAGCAAUUAUAAGCGCAAAUCGACAAACAAGCCAAAUCACAAACAAUUUUAAAAUUAUAAUAAUAAUUGUAGUAUUAGUUAUAAAGUAAUGCAACUUGUGCAAAUUACUGUUAGAAUAAGCUAUCACUGUUUUAAAAAGGGAUUUAAUAGGGUAGCCAUGAUAUGAAUAUAAUGGAUAAUUAAUCUAUAAAGAUUUUCCUAUUAAUAGGUACGAUAAAUACAUG
Non-coding RNA from Cinara cedri, 347 nucleotides. NCBI's taxonomy places the organism in Eukaryota, Metazoa, Arthropoda, Insecta, Hemiptera, Aphididae. The record is from the annotation of a GenBank genome assembly.